GUGUGUGUGUGUGUGUGUGUGACAGUUGUCGUGCAGCAGGUGCUGCUUGUUGGAGAUUUAUUUAGAAUGGACUGAAGCUCUCACAGAACUCUGAACUCUCCUCAGAGCAAAGACCAGAACCCAGAGGAGACACAGCCGAGCCCGGAGUCCUCAGGGGACCAAGAGACAGCGAGAGGGACCUGAGGACAUGGACAGAGUCUGAUCCUGAGUCACUGAAGGUGAGAAACCAAUCAGUCUAUUCAAGUUUCAGUAACGCAAAUAACGUGUUAAUAACUUCAGCCUCCAAUGAAUGACGCUUGUCCAGGUGCAUUGUGGGAGAUGGAGGCUCCAUUGUUAUGAAUCAAUCAAUCCGCAUGUCUCUGUUACUCUCCUUUAUUUCUUCAUUAAUUAUCUUUAUACGAGUUAUGAAAAACAGAAUGUAACCUGUUUGUAAUAGAUCAAUUAAUUAGUAUUUAUAAAGUCAUAUUAGAGCUUUUACUCUGUUAACAAUAUAACUGCUUACUUAUUUUAUUUUUAUUGUCAUAAAUAAUGUGUGUGCGUGUGUGUAACUGCGGGGCAACUGGGGUUUAUAAUUAGACUUCCCCCACAGACACACACACUUUAGGCCCCGCCCCCUGUCACUGAGGGUUGAAGGUCAUUCGUGACUCUUAAAGGAGCAGUGCACCGUUUUCUCCUCGUACGUUUAGAUUAUAGCCAGUUAUGUUCCCAGCAACAUCUUUACUAACAGAACUUACGGCUCCUGAUGGUCGCAUGCCUUUGAAGGUCCUGGACCCCUGUAGGUCUAUUAGUCUUGGACCCUAGAAGGUCUAAAUGUCUUUAUCCCGUGAGGGUUUCAUAAUCCUGGUCCUCUGAUGGUCUAGUUGUCUUUAGCCCCCUGAACGUCUCGUAAUCUUGGGACCUUAAAGGUCUAGCAUUCUUUGUCUCUUUAGUUGUCUCUGGCCCCUGAAGGGCUAGUUGUCUCUGGCCCCUGAAGGUCUAGUUGUCUCUGGGGUCUAGUUGUCUCUGGCCUCUGAAGGUCUAGUUGUCUCUGGGGUCUAGUUGUCUCUGGCCCCUGAAGGUCUAGUUGUCUCUGGGGUCUAGUUGUCUCUGGCCUCUGAAGGUGAAGCUCGAGACGGAUGACGUUCUCACUGAGGUUCCCUUUUCUCCCCAUGGGAGGCGUUUUCAUCUGGGGGAGUCGAUGUGAAGGUUUCAGGACGGAGGUUCUUCUUGUGUUCAGACUCUGAGGCUAAUUUGUCAUUUGCGAUUUUGGGCUCUACAAAAUAAAAUGAAUUGAAGGGUCUAGUUGUCUCUGGCCCCUGAAGGUCUGUGUUAUGAAGGUUUCAGGACGGAGGUUCUUCUUGUGAAAUAAAAUGAAUUGAAGGUCUAGUAAUUGUGGGCUCUGACUGACUGUCUGACCAAUGAAUGAGCAACGCCGCUGUAAGCCCCGCCCACGCUGCCCCGUCUGUUUGUCAGCAGAGCAAACAGACGAGGUCCAAGUUACAGCACUCUCAGUCCAGGUCCUUCAUGAGUCUCCUGGUGAGGACCUUCGUCAAUACUCAGGAGAUCUAUUGAUCCACAGGAAACAUCUGAAGGUCAACGAGUGAAACAUCAAAGUCCUGAAGAUUCAGUUCUUAGCCCUGAUUAUAUUCUUUGAUGAGUCUAUUGAUCAGUCUGAUAGUAAAUACAGUGAAACUGGUCUGAAGCAGGAUAAUUAUGUCAUUCAAUGUGGAUCAAUACAGUUAAAGUACUAAUGCUACCUGACGCUGGACAGGUGAGUGUGACAUCAUCAUCUACGUCAUCAUCUUCUUCCACUCCACCCUCAGCUGAUGGCGUUACCGUGGAACCCCGGCAUCCACCUGACGUUGCAGCUGGCCGUGCUGCUGAUUUCACCGGAAGGUAGACGUCCUGCUAGCAUCCGGUUGCUUAAGGCUAACUGCUGUGGGCUGGCCUUCAAAAUAAAAGCCUUUGAGUGCAAACCAACAGCGUCAGACAUAAAACAUGGUGUCAUGUGACAAUAAAGUGUUCGUCUGAGUGAACUCAGUCAUACGUUCCCACAAUGGGAAGCUGUUGUCAACAGAGCAUCACCAUCCUUAUCUGAAC
Molecule: long non-coding RNA, 2079 nt
Organism: Gasterosteus aculeatus aculeatus (three-spined stickleback)
Lineage: Eukaryota; Metazoa; Chordata; Actinopteri; Perciformes; Gasterosteidae
Source: Ensembl